GACGAACGCUGGCGGCGCGCCUAACACAUGCAAGUCGAACGGAGCUGAGAGAAGCUUGCUUUUCUUAGCUUAGUGGCGAACGGGUGAGUAACGCGUGAGUAACCUGCCCUGGAGUGGGGGACAACAGUUGGAAACGACUGCUAAUACCGCAUAAGCCCACGAUCCGGCAUCGGAUUGAGGGAAAAGGAUUUAUUCGCUUCAGGAUGGACUCGCGUCCAAUUAGCUAGUUGGUGAGGUAACGGCCCACCAAGGCGACGAUUGGUAGCCGGACUGAGAGGUUGAACGGCCACAUUGGGACUGAGACACGGCCCAGACUCCUACGGGAGGCAGCAGUGGGGGAUAUUGCACAAUGGGGGAAACCCUGAUGCAGCGACGCCGCGUGGAGGAAGAAGGUUUUAGGAUUGUAAACUCCUGUCGUUAGGGACGAUAAUGACGGUACCUAACAAGAAAGCACCGGCUAACUACGUG
Molecule: ribosomal RNA, 468 nt
Filed under: uncultured bacterium
Lineage: Bacteria
Description: partial 16S ribosomal RNA
Rfam family: Bacterial small subunit ribosomal RNA
Source: RNAcentral